UGAACGCUAGCGACAGGCUUAACACAUGCAAGUCGAGGGGUAACAGGGUAGCAAUACCGCUGACCGAGGCCCCCGACGGGUGAGUAACGCGUAUGCAACCUGCCUAUAACUGGGGAAUAGCUCCCUGAAAGGGAAUUAACACCGCAUAACGCUAUUGAUUCGCAUGGAUUGGUAGUUAAAUGUAGCGAUACAGGUUAUAGAUGGGCAUGCGUGACAUUAGCUAGUUGGUGAGGUAACGGCUCACCAAGGCUACGAUGUCUAGGGGUUCUGAGAGGAAGGUCCCCCACACUGGUACUGAGACACGGACCAGACUCCUACGGGAGGCAGCAGUGAGGAAUAUUGGUCAAUGGGCGCAAGCCUGAACCAGCCAUGUCGCGUGCAGGAAGACUGCCCUAUGGGUUGUAAACUGCUUUUAUAGUAGAAGAAACACAUCUACGUGUAGAUGUCUGCCAGUAUACUAUGAAUAAGCAUCGGCUAACUCCGUG
This 485-nucleotide ribosomal RNA is filed under the name uncultured bacterium. Its description in RNAcentral is "bacterial SSU rRNA". It matches the Rfam family "Bacterial small subunit ribosomal RNA", at positions 30 to 507 of the family's 1533-position model. The record is from RNAcentral.